CGAAUGCUGACAUAAGUAACGAUAAAGCGGGUGAAAAGCCCGCUCGCCGGAAGACCAAGGGUUCCUGUCCAACGUUAAUCGGGGCAGGGUGAGUCGACCCCUAAGGCGAGGCCGAAAGGCGUAGUCGAUGGGAAACAGGUUAAUAUUCCUGUACUUGGUGUUACUGCGAAGGGGGGACGGAGAAGGCUAUGUUGGCCGGGCGACGGUUGUCCCGGUUUAAGCGUGUAGGCUGGUUUUCCAGGCAAAUCCGGAAAAUCAAGGCUGAGGCGUGAUGACGAGGCACUACGGUGCUGAAGCAACAAAUGCCCUGCUUCCAGGAAAAGCCUCUAAGCAUCAGGUAACAUCAAAUCGUACCCCAAACCGACACAGGUGGUCAGGUAGAGAAUACCAAGGCGCUUGAGAGAACUCGGGUGAAGGAACUAGGCAAAAUGGUGCCGUAACUUCGGGAGAAGGCACGCUGAUAUGUAGGUGAAGUCCCUCGCGGAUGGAGCUGAAAUCAGUCGAAGAUACCAGCUGGCUGCAACUGUUUAUUAAAAACACAGCACUGUGCAAACACGAAAGUGGACGUAUACGGUGUGACGCCUGCCCGGUGCCGGAAGGUUAAUUGAUGGGGUUAGCCGCAAGGCGAAGCUCUUGAUCGAAGCCCCGGUAAACGGCGGCCGUAACUAUAACGGUCCUAAGGUAGCGAAAUUCCUUGUCGGGUAAGUUCCGACCUGCACGAAUGGCGUAAUGAUGGCCAGGCUGUCUCCACCCGAGACUCAGUGAAAUUGAACUCGCUGUGAAGAUGCAGUGUACCCGCGGCAAGACGGAAAGACCCCGUGAACCUUUACUAUAGCUUGACACUGAACAUUGAGCCUUGAUGUGUAGGAUAGGUGGGAGGCUUUGAAGUGUGGACGCCAGUCUGCAUGGAGCCGACCUUGAAAUACCACCCUUUAAUGUUUGAUGUUCUAACGUUGACCCGUAAUCCGGGUUGCGGACAGUGUCUGGUGGGUAGUUUGACUGGGGCGGUCUCCUCCUAAAGAGUAACGGAGGAGCACGAAGGUUGGCUAAUCCUGGUCGGACAUCAGGAGGUUAGUGCAAUGGCAUAAGCCAGCUUGACUGCGAGCGUGACGGCGCGAGCAGGUGCGAAAGCAGGUCAUAGUGAUCCGGUGGUUCUGAAUGGAAGGGCCAUCGCUCAACGGAUAAAAGGUACUCCGGGGAUAACAGGCUGAUACCGCCCAAGAGUUCAUAUCGACGGCGGUGUUUGGCACCUCGAUGUCGGCUCAUCACAUCCUGGGGCUGAAGUAGGUCCCAAGGGUAUGGCUGUUCGCCAUUUAAAGUGGUACGCGAGCUGGGUUUAGAACGUCGUGAGACAGUUCGGUCCCUAUCUGCCGUGGGCGCUGGAGAACUGAGGGGGGCUGCUCCUAGUACGAGAGGACCGGAGUGGACGCAUCACUGGUGUUCGGGUUGUCAUGCCAAUGGCACUGCCCGGUAGCUAAAUGCGGAAGAGAUAAGUGCUGAAAGCAUCUAAGCACGAAACUUGCCCCGAGAUGAGUUCUCCCUGACUCCUUGAG
Molecule: ribosomal RNA, 1553 nt
Filed under: Escherichia coli
Lineage: Bacteria; Pseudomonadati; Pseudomonadota; Gammaproteobacteria; Enterobacterales; Enterobacteriaceae
Description: partial 23S ribosomal RNA
Rfam family: Bacterial large subunit ribosomal RNA
Source: RNAcentral